UACGUAGGGUGCAAGCGUUACUCGGAAUUACUGGGCGUAAAGCGUGCGCAGGCGGUUGUGCAAGACAGAUGUGAAAUCCCCGGGCUCAACCUGGGAACUGCAUUUGUGACUGUACGGCUGGAGUGCGGCAGAGGGGGAUGGAAUUCCACGUGUAGCGGUGAAAUGCGUAGAGAUGUGGAGGAACACCAAUGGCGAAGGCAGCCUUCUGGGCCAACACUGACGCUCAUGCACGAAAGCGUGGGGAGCAAACAGG
Molecule: ribosomal RNA, 253 nt
Filed under: uncultured bacterium
Lineage: Bacteria
Description: partial 16S ribosomal RNA
Rfam family: Bacterial small subunit ribosomal RNA
Source: RNAcentral